GACGAACGCUGGCGGCGUGCCUAAUACAUGCAAGUUGAGCGAUGAAGAUUGGUGCUUGCACCAAUUUGAAGAGCAGCGCACGGGUGAGUAACGCGUGGGGAAUCUGCCUUUGAGCGGGGGACAACAUUUGGAAACGAAUGCUAAUACCGCAUAACAACUUUAAACAUAAGUUUUAAGUUUGAAAGAUGCAAUUGCAUCACUCAAAGAUGAUCCCGCGUUGUAUUAGCUAGUUGGUGAGGUAAAGGCUCACCAAGGCGAUGAUACAUAGCCGACCUGAGAGGGUGAUCGGCCACAUUGGGACUGAGACACGGCCCAAACUCCUACGGGAGGCAGCAGUAGGGAAUCUUCGGCAAUGGACGAAAGUCUGACCGAGCAACGCCGCGUGAGUGAAGAAGGUUUUCGGAUCGGAAAACUCUGUUGGUAGAGAAGAACGUUGGUGAGAGUGGAAAGCUCAUCAAGUGACGGUAACUACCCAGAAAGGGACGGCUAACUACGUG
Molecule: ribosomal RNA, 497 nt
Filed under: uncultured bacterium
Lineage: Bacteria
Description: partial 16S ribosomal RNA
Rfam family: Bacterial small subunit ribosomal RNA
Source: RNAcentral